RNAcentral lists this ribosomal RNA (332 nucleotides) under uncultured bacterium. RNAcentral describes it as "bacterial SSU rRNA". It matches the Rfam family "Bacterial small subunit ribosomal RNA", at positions 568 to 898 of the family's 1533-position model. The record is from RNAcentral.
CGUGUAGGCGGUUGGGCAAGUCAGAUGUGAAAGCCUUCUGCUCAACGGAAGAAGUGCAUUUGAAACUACCCGGCUAGAGUACGGGAGAGGAGAGCGGAAUUCCCGGUGUAGAGGUGAAAUUCGUAGAUAUCGGGAGGAACACCGGUGGCGAAGGCGGUUCUCUGGUCCGAUACUGACGCUGAGACGCGAAAGCGUGGGGAGCAAACAGGAUUAGAUACCCUGGUAGUCCACGCCGUAAACGAUGGGCACUAGGUGUAGGAGGUAUUGACCCCUUCUGUGCCGAAGCUAACGCAUUAAGUGCCCCGCCUGGGGAGUACGGCCGCAAGGCUAAA